AGUGGGGGAUAACGUAGCGAAAGUUACGCUAAUACCGCAUAUGCCCUGAGGGGGAAAGGUGGGGAUCGCAAGACCUAUCGCUUUCGGAGUGGCCGAUAUCGGAUUAGCUAGUUGGUGAGGUAAAGGCUUACCAAGGCGACGAUCCGUAGCUGGUCUGAGAGGACGACCAGCCACACUGGGACUGAGACACGGCCCAGACUCCUACGGGAGGCAGCAGUGGGGAAUUUUGGACAAUGGGGGCAACCCUGAUCCAGCCAUGCCGCGUGAGUGAAGAAGGCCUUCGGGUUGUAAAGCUCUUUCAGCUGGAAAGAAAUCAUAUCUACUAAUACUAGGUGUGGAUGACGGUACCAGCAGAAGAAGCACCGGCUAACUACGUGCCAGCAGCCGCGGUAAUACGUAGGGUGCGAGCGUUAAUCGGAAUUACUGGGCGUAAAGCGUGCGCAGGCGGCUUUUUAAGCCAGAUGUGAAAUCCCCGGGCUUAACCUGGGAACUGCAUUUGGAACUGGAAGGCUAGAGUGUAGCAGAGGGGGGUAGAAUUCCA
RNAcentral lists this ribosomal RNA (541 nucleotides) under uncultured Gallionellaceae bacterium. RNAcentral's name for it is "bacterial SSU rRNA". It matches the Rfam family "Bacterial small subunit ribosomal RNA", at positions 135 to 671 of the family's 1533-position model. The record is from RNAcentral. Lineage: Bacteria; Pseudomonadati; Pseudomonadota; Betaproteobacteria; Nitrosomonadales; Gallionellaceae.